Molecule: non-coding RNA, 335 nt
Organism: Pelobates cultripes (western spadefoot toad)
Lineage: Eukaryota; Metazoa; Chordata; Amphibia; Anura; Pelobatidae
Source: the annotation of a GenBank genome assembly
UCAUCAUCCUCAUCUGCUUGUAAGUACUCAAUCUAGUAUAUUAUUAGUGACACUAAUCUAUAAUUUACCUCACAUUAAAGGGACACUAUAGCUUACUGAAGUGGUUCUGGUGUCUAUAGCUGGUCCCUGUAGGCUUUUUAAUGUAAACACACACUGUGUGCAGCACUGGCGUUAGUUCAUAUGGCAGAUCAUAUGGGUGAGGCAUUGUGAUGUGACAUGUGGGGGCAGCAAAUUUUUAUUUUGUCUAGGGCGGCAAAAAUCCUUGCACCGGUUCUGAUCCUGGGCAGGUGCACCAGUCUACUUGACUGGUUUUGCCCCCCAGGCCUAAGGCUGCC